RNAcentral lists this ribosomal RNA (497 nucleotides) under uncultured bacterium. RNAcentral describes it as "partial 16S ribosomal RNA". It matches the Rfam family "Bacterial small subunit ribosomal RNA", at positions 28 to 507 of the family's 1533-position model. The record is from RNAcentral.
GAUGAACGCUGGCGGCGUGCCUAAUACAUGCAAGUCGAGCGAACGGACGAGAAGCUUGCUUCUCUGAUGUUAGCGGCGGACGGGUGAGUAACACGUGUAUAACCUACCUAUAAGACUGGGAUAACUUCGGGAAACCGGAGCUAAUACCGUAUAAUAUUUUGAACCGCAUGGUUCAAAAGUGAAAGACGGUCUUGCUGUCACUUAUAGAUGGAUCCGCGCUGCAUUAGCUAGUUGGUAAGGUAACGGCUUACCAAGGCAACGAUGCAUAGCCGACCUGAGAGGGUGAUCGGCCACACUGGAAGUGAGGCACGGUCCAGGCUCCUACGGGAGGCAGCAGUAGGGAAUCGUCCGCAAUGGGCGAAAGCCUGACGGAGCAACGCCGCGUGAGUGAUGAAGGUCUUCGGAUCGUAAAACUCUGUUAUUAGGGAAGAACAUAUGUGUAAGUAACUGUGCACAUCUUGACGGUACCUAAUCAGAAAGCCACGGCUAACUACGUG